UUUGAACCUGGCUCAGGACGAACGCUGGCGGCGUGCCUAAUACAUGCAAGUCGAGCGAGCUUGCCUAGAUGAUUUUAGUGCUUGCACUAAAUGAAACUAGAUACAAGCGAGCGGCGGACGGGUGAGUAACACGUGGGUAACCUGCCCAAGAGACUGGGAUAACACCUGGAAACAGAUGCUAAUACCGGAUAACAACACUAGACGCAUGUCUAGAGUUUGAAAGAUGGUUCUGCUAUCACUCUUGGAUGGACCUGCGGUGCAUUAGCUAGUUGGUAAGGUAACGGCUUACCAAGGCAAUGAUGCAUAGCCGAGUUGAGAGACUGAUCGGCCACAUUGGGACUGAGACACGGCCCAAACUCCUACGGGAGGCAGCAGUAGGGAAUCUUCCACAAUGGACGAAAGUCUGAUGGAGCAACGCCGCGUGAGUGAAGAAGGGUUUCGGCUCGUAAAGCUCUGUUGGUAGUGAAGAAAGAUA
Molecule: ribosomal RNA, 475 nt
Filed under: uncultured bacterium
Lineage: Bacteria
Description: bacterial SSU rRNA
Rfam family: Bacterial small subunit ribosomal RNA
Source: RNAcentral